RNAcentral lists this ribosomal RNA (497 nucleotides) under uncultured bacterium. RNAcentral describes it as "partial 16S ribosomal RNA". It matches the Rfam family "Bacterial small subunit ribosomal RNA", at positions 28 to 507 of the family's 1533-position model. The record is from RNAcentral.
GACGAACGCUGGCGGCGUGCCUAAUACAUGCAAGUAGAACGCUGAAGGAAGGAGCUUGCUCUUUCUGGAUGAGUUGCGAACGGGUGAGUAACGCGUAGGUAACCUGCCUGGUAGCGGGGGAUAACUAUUGGAAACGAUAGCUAAUACCGCAUAAAAUUGAUUAUUGCAUGAUAGUCAAUUAAAAGGUGCAACUGCACCACUGCCAGAUGGACCUGCGUUGUAUUAGCUAGUUGGUGGGGUAACGGCUCACCAAGGCGACGAUACAUAGCCGACCUGAGAGGGUGAUCGGCCACACUGGGACUGAGACACGGCCCAGACUCCUACGGGAGGCAGCAGUAGGGAAUCUUCGGCAAUGGACGGAAGUCUGACCGAGCAACGCCGCGUGAGUGAAGAAGGUUUUCGGAUCGUAAAGCUCUGUUGUAAGAGAAGAACGAGUGUGAGAGUGGAAAGUUCACACUGUGACGGUAUCUGACCAGAAAGGGACGGCUAACUACGUG